UCUCCCCUUCAUAGGUGAGAAACCCGAGCUGGCUCCAGCUUUGCCAACCUCGGUCGCCCCAGAUUCAGUGAAGAGUCCCUUUCACUCUCCUCGCGACAUUCCUGGCCCCUUAAAUCUCACCUCCUGGUGCCGCAGGGUGCGGGAUGCGGACUGGGGACAGCGGCUCAGUGCCCUUUGGAGCUGGGGCGGGCCUGGCGGGUGGCCAGGCGGCGCCCAGGCCGGGUCGCUUCGCACUCCUGAAGAGCCAUGGAGCUGGAGCGGCCGGCGCCCGCGGAGGUGCGCAUGAGUCAGGCCAUCCAGCCUGCGCACGCCAACCCCCGGGGCGAGCUGAGCGCAGCGCAGCUGCUCAAGUGGAUCGACAUCACAGCCUGCCUGGCGGGUGGAUUCUUUACCAGCUGAGCCACAAGAGAAGCCCAAGAAUACUGGAAUCUCACUUCAAGCAUCCUCUCCACAUGGACACCUUCCUUGACAUCCACCCAGCUGAAAAACAUGCUGGUGUUUCCUGUGUCACAGCCUCAGUGGAUGACAUACAGUUUGAAGCAACAGCUAGAGUUGGACAAGUUAUAACCAUCAAAGCAAAAGUUAGCAGAGCAUUCAGCACAAGCAUGGAGAUCAGCAUCAAGGUUACAGUAGAAGACAUGCUCACUGGCACUGAGAAACUUGUUAGUGUGGCUUUCUCUACCUUUGUAGCCAAACCAGUUGGAAAAGAAAAGAUUCAGUUAAAACCAGUCACACUUCUAACUGAAAAAGAUCAUGUGGAACACAAUCUGGCUUCUGAGAGAAGGAAAGUUCGAUUACAACAUGAAGAUACAUUUAAAAACUUGAUGAAGGAAGGUGGCAAGUUUGACGAUCCCAUUUGUGAUGAUGAGGAAGGAACUGUUUCCACAAGGGGCACUUCUGUUCAGAGCAUUGAACUUGUCCUCCCACCCCAUGCAAACCAUCAUGGAAAUACAUUUGGUGGCCAGAUUAUGGCUUGGAUGGAGGCGGUGGCUACUAUUUCUGCAAGCCGCCUGUGUCGAGCGCAUCCUGUUCUGAAGUCCGUGGACAUGUUUAAGUUCCGGGGACCAUCUACAGUUGGAGACCGUCUUGUCUUCAACGCCAUCGUCAACAACACAUUUCAGACCUGUGUUGAAGUUGGAGUGCGUGUGGAGGCCUUUGACUGCCAGGAGUGGUCUGAGAGCCGGGGCCGUCACAUCAACAGUGCUUUUCUCAUUUAUAAUGCUGUCGAUGAUAAGGAAGAACUGAUCACAUUUCCCAAAAUCAAACCCAUGUCAAAGGAUGAUUUUCGACGGUAUCGUGGAGCUCUCGCACGCAAGAGAAUUCGCCUAGGCAGAAAAUAUGUCAUUUCCCACAAAGAAGAAGUUCCACUUUGCAUACACUGGGAUAUUGGCAACCAGGUAUCCUUGAGUAAUGGCAAUGUGGAGGCUCUCAAACGCCUGGCAGCCAAAAGUGGAUGGGAGGUUACCAGCGCUGUGGAAGAGGUAGGAGGCAUUCAGAUAAAAAUAUAUACUCUGGAAGAACAUGAUAUUUUAUCUGUUUGGGUUGAAAAGCAUGUGAAAAGACCGGCACACUUGGCUUACCAUCUCUUGUCCAACUUUACCAAGCGACCUUUGUGGGACCCCCACUACACAUCCUGUGAAGUCAUAGACUGCAUAAGUGAAGAUGAUCAGAUAUAUUAUAUCACUUGUUCUGUGGUGAAUAAUGACAAACCCAAAGACUUGGUAGUACUUGUUUCACGAAGAAGGCCACUCGAAGAUGGUCACACUUACGUGGUGGCAGUGAGGUCGGUUAUUCUGCCGUCAGUCCCACCUUCUCCACAGUAUGUCAGAAGUGAAAUCAUAUGUGCCGGAUUUCUCAUCCAUGCUUCUGAUAGCAGUUCAUGUACCUCAAUCCUAAAGGAAAUCAACCCUGAAUAUUCACUGGACGGACUGAUGCUGAAGCUCCAAUAUUUUAGCCACCAGAUGGCCACCUGACUCAUUGGAAGACUCCGAUGCUGGGCAAGAUUGAAGGCAGGAGGAGAAGGGGAUGACAGAGAAUGAGAUGGUUGGAUGGCAUCACCGACUCAAUGGACAUUAGUUUGAACAAACUCUGGGAGAUGAUGAAGGACAGGGAAGCCUGGCAUGCUGCAGCCCAUGGGGUCACAAAGAGUCAGACAUGACUUAGCAACUAAACAACAACCCCUAGCAAAGAACUAUUUCUCUAACCUUCUCCAAGGCGUCACUCCAAUUCUUUUUUUUCUCUAUUUCAGAAGUCUUUCCUGGAUUAUUAUCAUAAUGACUAUCAUCUCUUAUCUUAAAAUAAAAUAAAGCAAAACAAUACUUCAUCUGAUCCUAUUUCCUAAAGGCUACCCAUCUCUACUCCAAUUAUCUAUAAAUGUAACCUUCAUACCCUUAUUUCAUUCAAUGAAUUAUACUUCUCCCUCCACUACUCCACAGACCACUCAUUGCCACAACUAAUGGCAUCAACAAAACUGACUAGUUCCUUCUUUUUGCAUCAUUUUCUCCACUUGGCUUCCAUGAUGUCACUCGGAUUUCCUCCUAUAUCACCAGUCACACUUUAAAGCCUCCUCUCAUGGUUCUUCCUCCUCCACCAGACCUCUAAAUACUAGACCACCCAGGGCUCCAUCUUGGUCUCUUCUCCUCUAUCGCUAUUCCUCAUGGAGUCCACCCAGUCUUUGGGUCUUAAAAGAUAUCUACUUGCCAAUAACUCCCAACUCUACGUCUCAAGCCCUAAACACUCCUGAACUCCACAUCUGUAUAUCUAACUUCUUAGUUGACAUUUCCACUAAGAUAAUAGUCAUCUCAAAGUCAACACUUCCAAAACAGACCCCUUAUUUCUGCCACCUUUCCCUUCAUAAAUCCUUCCUUCAGGAAAGCUUAUCAGCUCUGUGUGAAAAAUAUAAUCAAACCUGAUUCCUUCUAAUCAACUCUAUAACCCUAAUUCAAAACAUCAUCUUCUAUCAUCUGAAAUAUAACCUGUUUCUAUUCCUACUUCUCCCUUCACUCUCAACUCAGCAGUCAGAUCAUGUCACAUUUCUUCUCAAACCUGUAAAUAAUUCUGCAUAUCACAGAGUAAAAGCCAAAGCUUUAUAACAGUCUGGGGUAUGAUGUGGUACAUUCAAUUAUUUUUCAAAAAUAUUCACUCCCUUGCUACCAUCCCCACCUCUGCCAACAGAGUGCACUAUUACACCUCUUGUCUCUGAGCUUAAUCAUGUGACAUCAACAGACAUGAUGCAAUCAAUCAAAGGCUUGAAGAUGUUUUUGCAAGUGGACCUGCCCUCUUACAUCUCUGUCAUGAGAAAAAGUUAGGACUAGUCUGCUGGUCCCAGGAAAAGGAAGAGAGAUACAAGCAAUAGAGCUGCUUCAUCUAAGCCUAGUUUAGAUCAGCUGACCCCAAACCAGACUUCUUGUGGAUGUAAGCAAGCCCCACUGAGAUUAGUAGGGCUGUCCAGAUAAGCCCAGCCUAGAUCUGACUCACAGGCAUGAGCUAAAUAAACAGUUACCAUAUGCUUCUGAGUUUGUGGUGGUUAUGUGACAGAAACUGGUAGUCUGCAAGAUGUGACCCCUGUUAACUAUCUGAUCUUCACUACCUUAUCCCCAACUCUUUUCCAACCACACUGGCCUCUGCUAUUUUUCAACUACACCAAGCAGCCUCCUCCCUCAGUAUCAUUGCCCUUACUUAAUAUCUCACAUCAAGAUAUCCAAGGCUUCUAAUACUUCCCUGUAUACCUACGUACCAAUGGAAUAUUAUGGAUGAAACUUCAAAACAUUAUACUAAGUGAAGGAAGUCAGUCAAAAAGAUCACAUCUUUUUGACCCUCAAAUAGGGCAAGCUCACGGCUUUGACUAUUUUCUGUCCCUAAAUAUUCUUUUUCCUUAUCUUCAUAACAGAUUCUCUUGUCAUCCAGAUUUCAGCUUACAAGUCUUCCCCUCAGAGGCCUUCCCUUGAUUUUCCAAUCUAAAGUAGCUGUCCAGCCACAUGUGUCAUCUCUCUGUUAAGUCUAAUUCUGUCACAUAUUCAUUUAACUCAUUCGUUCAUUCAACAAGCGUGAAUGCUUUGUAUGCACCAAGUACUUCUGAGUAUAGUGAGUAAGACUCAAAAUUCCUGCCCUCAUGUAACCUAUAAUCCAGUGGAGAGGGGACAAAUAAUGUUAGGCAGGGACUUAAAUUAUGGAGAAAUUUUAGAGUAAGAGAAUGAGAAGUUACUGGUAUGAGGAAAAGGCUAUUUCCUAUAAGACUAGUCAUAAGACUCUUUACUAUGCAGACUGCCAAGUAGAGGCCUGAAGAAAGUCAGAGCGGGUCGAAUUUGGGGUGUGGUGAGGGAAUGACAAGAAAAGAAUAACUUGAGAUUCAAGCCUGUAGGCUUGGAAUAUAACUGUACUAGAUAAAAUGGAGACAAGAAAGGAAAUUUGUUCAUUUUCCCCUCAGCGGAAGUGAUUUGAUUUAAAGCUACUGUGAGUUUGGGGUGUUAGUGCAACAUCCAAUUAAGGAUGUCCAGCAGGCUGGUGAGCACACAGAACUAAAACCAAGGAUCUUAGGGCUAGACAUAGAUUCAGGAGUCAGCCCCUGAGAAGUGAAAGAUGAGCUUGUAAAAAGAGAUGACAUUUCCAAAGGACUAGAAGGAAGAAGAGUGCUAACAACUAAGUCUUAGGGAAUUCAACAAAAUAUUUAUAAAAUGUUAUAAAUAUUGACAUUCUGAUAUUAUUUUUACUGAUAGUUCCGAUAUGCAUUUUUUGUGCCUAAAUCUGCCUUCCUUUCUUCAGCCUCAGCAGAAUGCAUGUGGCCUUAUCUGUCUUAUUCACUGCCACAAUCUCAAGUGCCUGAAAGAGUACCAAGAAUGUAGUAGGUCCUUGUCCUUAGGAAAUCUAUAAUGAAAAAGUAUUUGUGUGCCUUCCUCAUUCAGCAUUCGCUGUUAAGAAAAUAACCAACAGUAAGCAACCUGCAAUCUCUUAGGACAUCAGAAUUUCCAUCUCUGGUGAGGAAACUGAGAUGAGAGAAGUUAAAUAACCUGGCCAAAGUCCCACAGUUAAUGAGUGGUAGUUCUGAGACUGUAACUGGUGUUAACUCCAAAGCUAUGCUUUUUCAUUGGACUUCUGCAAGGGAACCCAGGACAUGACACACGAAGUGUCUAGAACCUAAUGGUACCAGCAUCACAUUAAUAAAUGACUUACAUUAACAGAUGCCAACCUCCUCCUUAAAGACUUAAACAUCACAGACUUUACUGUGGGCACCUUAAGACAUUAGCUGUGCCAAAGGUAAGAAUGUUACAUGGCCCAUGCCAGACAAUAAACUAAGGAAAAACAAAAAUCCAGAAUAGUGAGUACCAACCCUUCUACCCAAAAUAUUAUGCUACACUGAGAUUAAAUUCACCACACUAUUUUUUAAAUCUUAUAUUAGUUUGAGAAAUAAUCUUUUUGCUUGUUAGGUCUAAAAGUAGAUAUUUAUAACAUAUUCUCACAACUGAUACUGAAGUAAGUACAAAUAGUUUGAAAUAUAGAGGUCAGUUUGAUUUGAUGUAUCAACUUAAAUUACACAAAGUCUAGUACACAGAAUGUGUGCUCAGCUGCUCAGUUGUGUCUGACUCUUUGUGAGCCCAUGGACUGGAGCCUGCCUCCAGGCUCCUCUGUCCAUGGGGAUUCUCCAGGCAAGAAUACUGGAGUGGGUUGCAAUUUCCUUCUCCAGGGGAUCUUCCCAACCAAGGAUAGAACCCCAUUUCCCACGUCUCCUUUACUGCAGGCGGAUUCUUUACCUCUAAGUCGCCAUAGGAUAAUGCUUGAUAAAAAUAAUGAAAUUCUAGAGAUUUUGCCACUUAUUCAGGAAUUUAUUUAAAAACUGUUUAAAUGUAAAUUAAAUCACAACUGCAUGAUGACUCACCACCAUUUUCAACAUACAACAGUAACAGUACUCACCAUCAGCAUAGAGUCCUUUGGGAUUAUCAGGACAAGAUCUGGACAGAUGCCCCAUUUCCCCACAAACAAAACA
This is an RNA transcript of Dama dama (fallow deer), 5980 nucleotides long. It is a transcript of the gene named acyl-CoA thioesterase 12, with no coding region annotated. The transcript is spliced from 18 exons. The record is from RefSeq and is a predicted model, not a curated record. NCBI's taxonomy places the organism in Eukaryota, Metazoa, Chordata, Mammalia, Artiodactyla, Cervidae.